UUAAGACAAGCAAGCCCACUCGCACAUGAAACCAUGACACUAUGGCAGGCCAACUUACUAGCUUUCAAGUAAGGUAACAUCUCAGACCAUCAUAGGUUUUGACAGGGGAAACUCUGAAGGACCACAGGAGUUGGAGGUUCCACGUAUCUCUAAGUAGUAACAUACGAUGGGUCCAAAACAGAAGAAAGAGAACUCAAGAUUCCCGAGCCACAGAGCUGUUGAUUGGAGGCUGACUCAGAGAAACCCUGGAUUCAGUGACAUACAGAGACAACAGGUACAGGAUCAGUAUGGGUUUUAAUUGAGGGGCUCGGCACCAAAUGACAGACUUGACACAUCCACCCCCACCAUGGAUGCUGUCCGUCCACUGUUGCACAAUGUCCUUCAGUGUCUAAUUUACAGAUCCAGCUGUAUUUCCCCUUCCACCUGCAUCCCUGAAGUUCCUCCCACCUGAAAACUUCACCUGACCCAAGAAAGCAAAGGAAAAAACCCGGAGAGCCAGCUCAUAGUCUGGUUCACUGUUUAACAGCCAGAAGCCAGAGCCUGCGUACUAGAAGUGGAUGCCCAGGAAGUACUUGUGAGCUGACUAAGAAUGUAAGAACGCCACCCACUUCAUUCAGGAAAGUGAGGCAGGAUUCCAUGGAGUAUGAAUGACUGCACAUGGAACAAGCAGGUUAUCAUUUAUAUUCAGCAAGGGACCUCCAUGAACAGGACAUUUGGGGAGCUGCUAUCAAACAUCAGAACUUCUGACACUGUGCACACAGUCUUAUAUUGUGCCUUGUCUGUUGUGAUGUCUCACUACAGUAAUGAUUAAGAUGAUGAG
Molecule: long non-coding RNA, 820 nt
Filed under: Homo sapiens (human)
Lineage: Eukaryota; Metazoa; Chordata; Mammalia; Primates; Hominidae
Description: HSALNT0380318
Source: RNAcentral